This 433-nucleotide ribosomal RNA is filed under the name uncultured bacterium. RNAcentral's name for it is "partial 16S ribosomal RNA". It matches the Rfam family "Bacterial small subunit ribosomal RNA", at positions 29 to 507 of the family's 1533-position model. The record is from RNAcentral.
AACGAACGCUGGCGGCAUGCCUAACACAUGCAAGUCGAACGAGACCUUCGGGUCUAGUGGCGCACGGGUGCGUAACGCGUGGGAACCUGCCCUUAGGUUCGGAAUAACUCCCCGAAAGGGGUGCUAAUACCGGAUAAUGUCUUCGGACCAACGAUUUAUCGCCGUUGGAUGGGCCCGCGUUGGAUUAGCUAGUUGGUAGGGUAAAAGCCUACCAAGGCGACGAUCCAUAGCUGGUCUGAGAGGAUGCUCAGCCACACUGGGACUAAGACACGGCCCAGACUCCUACGUGAGGAAGAAGUGGGGAAGAUUGGAAACUGGGGGAUAGUAUGAUCCAGCAAUGCCACGUGAGAGAUCAAGCCCUUAGGGUUGUAAAGCUCUUUUACCCGGGAUGAUAAUGACAGUACCGGGAGAAUAAGCUCCGGCUAACUCCGUG